CGGAAAUGACGUCAGUGUACGACCUGAAAAAGUGCGCGGGGAAUUUCUGUAUCUGUUUCAGUAACGGCGUUAAAUAACUCAAUGUACAUCGCGUAUUUUAAUCAACUCAUUUAACCAGUUGUUGGGUAAAAUGUCUCAUCCAGUUGAAGCGGAUUUACCACCGAACUUGUUAUGCCUGAAAAAUAUCGACACUUUGCUCCGAUGCCCCAUUUGCUUCGACUUCUUGAAUGUAUCCAUGAUGACGCAGUGUUCUCAUAACUUUUGCUCCCUGUGUAUACGGAAAUUCCUUUCCUACAAGUUGCUGUGUCCUCUUUGCAACACGCCACUGACCGAACAAGAGCUGAGGAACAACAGACUACUGGAUGACCUUGUUCAGAGCUUUCAAGCUGUGAGGCAACAGCUGUCUCAGACAAAUUUUGAGUCCCCUCCAAUCUCCCCCGAGACACCGACAAUGGCCAUUGGAGAAAAAGCAGCGAGGCAGAAAGCCCUUAAAAAAGAGGGCACUCCUCUGACUCACUUCUUCCAGAAGCGUGCCCCAAUCAGCUCUUCCACAGGAGCACAGUCAGGCUCUAAGGGUCUGUGCCCAGUGAAACAGGAGCCCAUGGAGGUGUGUGUGCAGGGCGCUCUCCUGCCAGAGAGUGCAGUGACUGCGACUACAGCAGUGAAAGAAGAGAUGCUGGACAUGCGUGCUUUUCCCUCCACGUCGCAGGAUAUUAAACCUGUGGUCAAAGUGGACUGCCCAGUGUGUGGACUGGAAGUGCCUCAGCAACACAUUAAUAAACAUCUGGAUACAUGCCUGACCAGUGGGGAGAAGAAGGAUAGCCUUAGAAGGUCUGACCAGCUAGGCUUUUCUGGUUCUGCAUUUAUAGAGCCAAAUUCUCGGAAGCGCAGGCCGAUGGCUAAACUGGUGUACACACUGCUGACAAUGGUGGAGCUAAAGAGAAGGCUGAGAGAGUGCCAUCUGUCCACGCAAGGUUCCAGAGAGCAGCUCAUCCGACGGCACCAGGAGUUCUCACACAUUUACAACGCACAGUGUGAUGCAGUCAACCCCAGAUCGAGUGAGGACAUUGCCAGAGAGGUUGAAAACAAUGAGAAGAUGAGGAAUCAGCUGGACAGUAAAAGAAAACCUGCAAUAGUCAUCACUAAAAACCACACAGCCAAUGAAAUUGAACAGUUGCACUCAGAUUACCGGAAACAACACAGCGGUGAGUUUUCCCGUUUAAUUGCUCAAGUCAGAGGUCGUUUGGAAAAUUCCAGGAGAACACAAAUUAAGCAGGAAGGAGGGAAAUCUGCGGAGGCAUCAUGUUGCAGUGCUGAUGAUACAGUAGUCCAAAACACAACCCAGCCCCCAGUUUCUUUGAUGGUGGAAGUUGACAACAAUGAGGCAGUUUCUGUUGUAGAACUUGACUCAGGGUCACUAAGCCCUAUUCUCAGUGAAGUGUCUGACAGCAGUGAAUAUUAACAGCUUUUGAAAUGCAUGGUCGAAAACUCAUUCAGCUCCAUUUCCGAUGUUUUCAAUUGAAGACCAUAAGGAUACUACCUGUAGUCCAAGAGGCUAACGCAGAGCCGCAGGCUCCUGGGAGUUGAAUCCUCUUAAUGCAGGGGAACAUGCACUCAAGGCUAGACAGAACCAGCAUGACACCUGGACUCGAUUUAAAAUUAACAUUGAAUUUAUCUUUUAUACCUUUACGCAUAAUUCUGUUUUCAGUAUGGGAUUUGUAUAUAGAACAUUUGAACAAUAAAAUCUAUUUUUUUUUAA
RNA transcript from Ictalurus punctatus (channel catfish), 1759 nucleotides. It is a transcript of the gene named RAD18 E3 ubiquitin protein ligase, with no coding region annotated. NCBI's taxonomy places the organism in Eukaryota, Metazoa, Chordata, Actinopteri, Siluriformes, Ictaluridae. The transcript has 15 exons. The record is from RefSeq and is a predicted model, not a curated record.